AAUAAUCUGUUUGCUGGCUAUGCUUGAAAUUCUAUCACUGGACAUUCAAUGCUAUUGCCCAAGAUAUUUCUUGGCUAAUAUGGAAAUCUUACUAGAGGGAAUAAAUGAUCAGAUAAUAGUAAUCACAACUAACACUUUCUGAUAACUUACAAUGUUCAAGAGGGUUCUAAGUACUUUAUAUUAUUAACUCUUAGUCCUCAAAACAAGCAAUUAAUUAUCACCACUUUACCAAACAAAAACAAAGACAAGAAAACACUAAAGCAAGAACAGAGAAGUUAAUUUGCCCAAAGUUGUAGUUAAUAUAAGGCAGAGGCAAGGUGGUUUGACUUCAGAGAUCUUGGUCUGAACCCCUAUUAGUGUGCAUAAGCUUAACGUAGCCAGGAGCGGGAAGAGAGAAGGAGAACCAGGAAAGUUGAGAGAGAUGGAGUCUGCACUCUCUGGAGCUUUCCCUCAGAACUCACAAAUCAGCCUGGGGCAGGGAGUGGGGGUGGCCUGUCGCUGCACGCCUGCCACCCAGUGCUCCUUAAAAUCACUCCCAUGACAUGUCAUUGAUGCUAUAAGUGUGUCACAGAAAGCCAUCAAGGUCAAAAUUAUUUAUAUAACAAUACACAUUGGUGACCAUUUUCGCUGAUAUUUGCAGCAAUGAUACAAGGCAAAGAGUGGGUUAAACGGCUGGCAACUCGGCAUAAAUAAAAGCAAUGGCACCAAAAAUUGAAUUCUCUGAUUCACAGUUGCAGUAAAAAUAUGCCAGUUUCACUUUGGAAUGCCCUUGGUGAGGCAGUAAAAAUGAUUGAUUACUAAUUUUAUUAAAUGUUGACCACAAGUACAUGUGUUUUUGUCUGUUUGCUUGUUUAUUUGUUUGUUUUGGCCACACCCACAGCAGGCUGAAGUUCCCAGGCCAGGGAUCAACCCGUGCCAAAUCUGCACCCUGAGCUACAGCAGUGACAAUGCCAGAUCCUUAACCCACUGAGCCACCAGGGAAUUCCAGUACAUGUGUUUUUUAAACAUUCUCUGUAAUAAAAUAGGGAAUAUGCAUAAAGCAUUUCUACUGAGUACCCAGAGUACCAGAGCUGCCUUAAGGGAAAAUGGUCAUAAUGAUUAUUUAAGUUAGACGUUAAACUAGCCACAUUUUUCAUGGAAUACUGUUUUUUACUUGAAAGAAUAACAGAUCAACUUGGAUAUAUAGAUACACUAUCUAAAAUGAGUCUAUUAUCACUCCAAGGAAAGUAAAGGAUAAGAUUUAGUGCUGAUGAGAUUUUGAGAUUUUGAGAGAAAAUUAGAAUUUUGGGAAACUUUCACUGGCCAUUGGGAGCUUCUCUGUUUCCUAAAAUUUGAAGACUUUUCUGAUGAGCUCCGUAAUGAUGAAUAAAUAUGACUUUUUAAUAUUUUAUAAUGAAACAUGUUAGAAAAUAUACAUAACUUAUUGAAUCUUUUUUUUCCUGUUAUAAAAAAUGGCAUUACAGGAAUGAUGUUACAGAAUCAUGGUGAUAUACAUGAGUCAUACAGAAUCAUACAAUGUGUAACAUUACAGAAUCAUGUAUGGGUAAAAAUCCAUUGAAGGUAUUAUAUAGACCAAUGAAUUUUGAUAUAACAGUGUACAAAAAGUUCAUUGAUAUUUCAAAUUCCACGUUAAAACUAGCCUUGAAGAAACUAUCACCUGUUGAGUUUGACUAAUGUAUAAAGAAAGAAAUUCACAAAUAUCUGAAAAACCUAAUAAAAUGCAUUUUCCUUUCCCAACUACACAUAACUGAGAGGCUGAAUUUUCUUCAUGUGCUUCAACCAAACAAAAUAUUUUGACACAUUACAGAAGCAUAUAUAAAAAUUUACAUUGUGGUGCAGCUGAAAUGAAUCUGACUAGUAUCCAUGAGGAUGUGGGUUCAAUCCCUGUUCCCACUCAGUGGACUGGGGAUUGAGCCUUGCCCUGAGCUACAGUGUAAGUCGCAGACUCGGCUUGGAUCCCACUUUGCUGUGGCAAUGGUGCAGGCUGGCAGGUAGCUGUAGCUCUGAUUGGACCUCUAGCCUGGGAACUUCCAUAUGCCACGGAUGCAGCCCUAAAAAGCAAAAAAGCAAAAAACAAACAAACAAAAAAACCUCAACAGAUAUAAAAAUAACCAGAUCAAAAAAUCCAGCUAUCUUCUAUUGAGUCAGAUGUCUAAGAGUUUUUCCAAAAGUGUAAAACAAUGUUUUGUUUUGUUUUGUUUUUUCUGUUGGGGGAUGGAAUAUAGCUUUAGAACUAUAUAGUUACGAAUGUUCAUGUUAACAUGUAAUGGGUUUAUUAUUAUUCUUAAAUGAAUUAAAUAAGUAUUUUUCAGUUGCUGUUUUAAUUUUGAACACAGUAAAUAUCAUAGAUGUAAUCUACAUUAAAGUUCUUUGAAACCUGCAGUAUUAUUUUCAUAGGUAAGGGAAAUCCAGAGACCAUAAAACUUGAGAACCACUGAAGCAUCUUUUUGUAUGGAUUUGGCUUCUGACGAUAGAAUGUCCACCUGACAGUGGCUUAAUAGGUAGAAUAUAUUCUUCUCUUUGAAGAAUUUUAGUUAGAGGGAACAGUCCUCCACACAAGUUUGUCAUCUCUCUUCUGACAUCAGUUGCAAGGUGGAAGUGUUUGGAAAGCCACCUUAGUUUCAAUAAUUCACUAGAAGAACUCGGAGAACAGAUUGAAGCUUUUACGCUCAUAGUUUAUCACAGAAGAAAGCAUUCAGGUUUAAAGUCAGUCAAGAUAGAGUGAAGAUGCGGAGCAUCCAGUCAUUCUGUCCCUGUGGGGUCAAGGACACUGCUAACUCUUCUGGGCCACUAUGUGUGAAAACACCCAUACACUAUUGCCAACCUGGUGAAAUACACCCAAGACUCAGUGUCCAGAGUUCUUAUCAAGACUUAAUCAUGGAGUUGCCUUGUGGCUCAGUGGGCUGCGAGACCUACACAGUGUUCGUAUGGAUGCGAGUUAUUCCCUGGCCUCACUUAGUGGGUUAAAGAUUGGGUGUUGCUGCAAGCUGCCAUGUAGGUUGCAGAUGUGGCCUGGAUCCAGCAUUGCUGUGGUUGUGGCGUAGGCUGAUGGCUGCAGCUCUGAUCUGGCCCCUAGCCUGGGAACUUAUAUAUGCCACAAGGGUGGCCUUAAAAACAAACAAACAAACAAAAGACUCAAUCACAUACUGCCUGUAUGGCUGCUCUGGACUUUCCAAACCCUUCAGAGGUCAGACUGAUAAACACUCAAUCUCCAGUCCAACCAGAGGCAGAACUGAUUCCACUACCUUGCCCCCAAAGCCCCCACUGUAAACCACAUUAUUAAACUGCUAGUGGCCAAAGACCCCAGACAAAGAAACACCCUUACAGCAGGAUCUAAGGACCUAGAGAUCACUGCCCAGUGGUCAGGGGCAAAGGCCAGGCUUCUCCUUCGGCAAGGCUGAUUCCUCAUUACACGUUCUUGUAAUAAGGAAACUUGAAUCCGGUGGUAACAUGGCUGGUUCAGGAUGUCAGCAUCGUCUCAAGGACCUAGGCUCUGAUGUUUACCCACCAUCAUCAUUGCGUUGGCUUUUUUCUCAUUCUUGUCAC
RNAcentral lists this long non-coding RNA (3546 nucleotides) under Sus scrofa (pig). RNAcentral's name for it is "lncRNA (ENSSSCG00015012664.1)". The record is from RNAcentral. Lineage: Eukaryota; Metazoa; Chordata; Mammalia; Artiodactyla; Suidae.